AUGGCUUUCCGUGGUUUUGUAGGGGUGCGUCUGGAGGAGAAUACAAAGGAGCGCUGCGAUUGGUGGGUUCUGGGUGAGAUGAGGAUACUGGCUAUCGCAGCUCAACACAUGUGUUUGUUUGCAGGGAGGGGAGGGGAGGGGGAGGUGGGCAGGCUGAGUCCGUGGAACAUUCUUGUUAUAUUCUGCUGCUUCAUUUUGUUGCUGCACAAUAGAAGUUUGGAAAAUUCAGCAAUUUCGUGUCCGCGCAUCUGGUUUUCAGUUCUUUUGGCCGACCUAAUUGAGCUAUCGGAGGUGUUGCGGUCUUUUAGCAAACAUGCCCUAUAUUCUAUGGUUUGGCAUCUACAGGAUGCCAUCUCUGGUCAUGGAUCCACUAUGGCUGCUUCGUCCUUCACUUAG
This 396-nucleotide ribosomal RNA is filed under the name Triticum aestivum (bread wheat). RNAcentral's name for it is "partial small subunit ribosomal RNA". Lineage: Eukaryota; Viridiplantae; Streptophyta; Magnoliopsida; Poales; Poaceae. The record is from RNAcentral.